UCUUGUGUGUGUGUGUUUCCUGUUUUAACCUUGUAAAUAACUCUCAUUUCUUUUCUUAGUUAAAAAAUCUUUAGUUAGUUUAUUACAGGAUUGGCUACGGGCAUUGUCUUUGAUUUGAGAUCUGAGUACAAUCAAUCUAUGGUGACA
Long non-coding RNA from Chelonia mydas (Green sea turtle), 147 nucleotides. RefSeq lists it as uncharacterized. Lineage: Eukaryota; Metazoa; Chordata; Testudines; Cheloniidae. The record is from RefSeq and is a predicted model, not a curated record. The transcript has 3 exons.